This 253-nucleotide ribosomal RNA is filed under the name uncultured bacterium. RNAcentral's name for it is "partial 16S ribosomal RNA". It matches the Rfam family "Bacterial small subunit ribosomal RNA", at positions 524 to 776 of the family's 1533-position model. The record is from RNAcentral.
UACAGAGGGUGCGAGCGUUAAUCGGAAUUACUGGGCGUAAAGCGCACGUAGGUGGCGACGUAAGUCGGGUGUGAAAGCCCCGGGCUCAACCUGGGAAUUGCAUUCGAGACUGCAUUGCUGGAGUACGGAAGAGGAGGGCGGAAUUCCCGGUGUAGCGGUGAAAUGCGUAGAUAUCGGGAGGAACAUCAGUGGCGAAGGCGACUUACUGGACUGAAACUGACGCUGAGGCACGAAAGCGUGGGGAGCAAACAGG